Molecule: ribosomal RNA, 254 nt
Filed under: uncultured bacterium
Lineage: Bacteria
Description: partial 16S ribosomal RNA
Rfam family: Bacterial small subunit ribosomal RNA
Source: RNAcentral
UACGUAGGGUGCGAGCGUUGUCCGGAAUUAUUGGGCGUAAAGAGCUUGUAGGCGGUCUGUCGCGUCUGCUGUGAAAAUCCGGGGCUCAACCCCGGACUUGCAGUGGGUACGGGCAGACUAGAGUGUGGUAGGGGAGACUGGAAUUCCUGGUGUAGCGGUGAAAUGCGCAGAUAUCAGGAGGAACACCGAUGGCGAAGGCAGUUCUCUGGGCCGUAACUGACGCUGAGGAGCGAAAGCGUGGGGAGGCGAACAGG